Molecule: long non-coding RNA, 1358 nt
Organism: Equus caballus (horse)
Lineage: Eukaryota; Metazoa; Chordata; Mammalia; Perissodactyla; Equidae
Source: RefSeq, a predicted model, not a curated record
AAAUUCUUUGGUACAUGAAAAGGACAGUCUUCAUGGGGCCUAUGUGAUCUAAAUCAUAGUGUAUCUGAAACAGAAGUUUUAGCGUCAGAUGUCAUCAUCAGACUGUAAAUAGCAGAUGGGUAGCAAGUUGUAGGUGGCAUUUAAGAAGUGAAAUCAUACGUAUUGGUUAUGUCAUCAAAGGAGGUGCCUUACAAAUGAGGGGAAAUGAUGCAGAGUUGAAAAGCAUUUCAAAUAAUCGGACAACUUCCGUACCUUCCUUAAGACUAUCGCUAGCAUUUGUUAUUGAAACUACGGCCUCAACACAGAAGAAAAUGCUCAUCCUGCUGCUCUCUCCUCUAGUCACUUUCUUCCACAGGAUUCAGUGAAAACUUGUAAUGUGCCAGACCCAGAUACGGAAGAGACAGGGCUAGUCUAGGAAAGGGGGGAGGAAAUGCGGUCCCUCUUGUCCUAGUCCCCAGUGAACUAUUGAAAGAAGAAAAGAAAGCAAGGGUGAUGUUUCUCCUGGUUACACCCCUAGGAAAGAAGAGUGUAGCGCAAUAUGGGAAACAAUAAAGGAGGAGAUUCCAGAAACAUCACUUUACAUGUGAUAUUCUGGGAGCAGACCACCUUCCAAGCUGCCCUAUACUAACCCUGGGAAAGCCAUUUCAAAAUAAACUCAGUGGAAUUUUAUUGUUAAGCUGACAGAAGACUGGAGUUUUGCUUCAUAUAUAAUAAGGAUGGGAUAAGAAUUCCUCUCUUGCUUCUGAAGGGCAUGGGAAGCUUAACAGCCUGGCUGAUGGUUCUUGUCAGAGGGGAUCAUUGAGGCAGGGCAAUGUUUUCUCAGAAUUGUAUCCUCAAAGCUGGGAAAUCCAAUGUAGGCCACUAGCAGGGAAAUCACAGACGUACGUGGUGUCUCCAGGAACAGCAAUUGCUGAGGUGGGGAUAAGCCGCAGGGGAGGACCAAGCUGCAUUGUCUCUAUUGAAAGGCCACAGACCAUAAAUUACAAGGGACAAUAAGUUACAUCACAAUUGUUAGCAGUAGAUUCCUGCAGACUCCUUUGGAACAAGGCCAGUCAUCCCUCAGCUCGAUGAUUACCAGUCUAGGGAGCAUCCUCAGAAGCCUGCAUGGCAAAUACCAGUAGGGAUCCAAAGGCUUCCACAUGGAUCCAAGGAACACAUCUCCACUCUGCGACCAUAAGGUCCCAAAGAACGACUGCUGACUCAUUCACUAAGAGGCUAGCUACAUCAUGCCAUCCUGAGAGACUGAGGAUGUAUCUGAACUCUCCAAAUGGAGACGGAAUUGCCUAAGGAGACAAUCUCAAUGGUUGGAUCGAUCCUAGAUCAUCUAAUUGAACAAAAUACAGGUUUACGGAUUUCCC